RNAcentral lists this ribosomal RNA (253 nucleotides) under uncultured bacterium. RNAcentral describes it as "partial 16S ribosomal RNA". It matches the Rfam family "Bacterial small subunit ribosomal RNA", at positions 524 to 776 of the family's 1533-position model. The record is from RNAcentral.
UACGUAGGGGGCUAGCGUUGUCCGGAUUUAUUGGGCGUAAAGAGCGUGUAGGCGGCCUGGUAGGUCUGCUGUGAAAACUCGAGGCUCAACCUCGAGAUGUCGGCGGAAACCACUUGGCUAGAGUCCGGAAGAGGAGAGUGGAAUUCCCGGUGUAGCGGUGAAAUGCGCAGAUAUCGGGAGGAACACCAGUGGCGAAGGCGACUACCUGGCCUGUUCUUGACGCUGAGGCGCGAAAGCUAGGGGAGCAAACGGG